This 195-nucleotide ribosomal RNA is filed under the name Nonomuraea roseola. Its description in RNAcentral is "partial 16S ribosomal RNA". It matches the Rfam family "Bacterial small subunit ribosomal RNA", at positions 366 to 576 of the family's 1533-position model. Lineage: Bacteria; Bacillati; Actinomycetota; Actinomycetes; Streptosporangiales; Streptosporangiaceae. The record is from RNAcentral.
GCGCAAUGGGCGGAAGCCUGACGCAGCGACGCCGCGUGGGGGAUGACGGCCUUCGGGUUGUAAACCUCUUUCAGCAGGGACGAAGUUGACGUGUACCUGCAGAAGAAGCGCCGGCUAACUACGUGCCAGCAGCCGCGGUAAUACCGUAGGGCGCAAGCGUUGUCCGGAAUUAUUGGGCGUAAAGAGCUCGUAGGC